ACAUAUAUCUGUAUUAGUUUUUAUACAUUAAUUUGACACCUGUAUUGAAAAUACCAUAUUGUAUUCAUACAGAAUCAGUUUGGUAUCAUUGUUUGUCUGAUUGCUGAAACUAAGAGCUAGUUUUGAUCUAAAGUAUCCAAAGUUGAGCUCUAAUGUUUCUUCACCCUUGUGUGUGUGAUAUGUGAUUUCCUACAUGCUGACAGAGCAGAGCAGCAGUUUGUGCUCACAGAUGGUGACGGUGUGGAGAGACGGUGGUGUUUCCUCAGAAGAACUAGCAGAGUCACCAAGGACACGAGUCCAUCUCACCACCUUGACUUGUUGAUCAGUGGAUACACUUGUCUCCCCUUUAAAGGAGAUACUCUUAGAGAGAGACGAUCUGAGUCAUCCUUAAAUAUGGGCAGGAUAUCAGUCUUGGACUGUCUAACCUGCCGGAGCAGCACUGAAUGAUCACCACACAUGAUCAGUUCCUGCAACAUUCAGCAGCUCUGCUUUUGCUGGAGAGGAAACUACACCAGUGUACUGGGAUGUUUCAGCAACACGUGCCAGAUCCUGUUCCUUCAUGGUGACAUCACCAGCGACGGCCCCGCCCACCUCAGGACCUCGCCAUUGAUCAUGAUGAUUUUAAUGAUGACAGCGAGCGGAACUAAGACUGUAAAAAUCAGAAUGUUUAGAUGCUUUCUAAUUAUUAAUGAAUACUGAGAGCCUCUUUCUGUGUUUUGUCUGUUUUGUUUUGUUUUGUUUUACCUCAUUUGUUACUAACAAAGUUCACCAAACUCAGUUUACAUUCUGUAUGUUUCCAUCUUUACCAGCCACACUCUACCCGCAAUUAAGAAAAUAAUCCUUAGAAAUCGUAGUUUUUCUCUUUUGUAAUUGAUGAUAAUUCAGUGAAUAUACUGCGCUGCUUCCUUUAAUUGCGUCUCACAUUGCUUUAAGUUUUUCCAGUGUCCAGUUAUUUUUUACUGUUGUUUGAAUUCUCUGUAUGUUUGACCCUGUAGACUGUUUAAUGGACUGCUUGUCUUCCUGUUUGUAACCGACGCCUGUUUUUGACUAAAGAUUUGGAUUUCUGACUUUAACACAGCCUCUGCGUGUCCUCCCUUUGUGUCCUCUUCCUCUGUGAAUGUGUUGCAUGUGUCACAGAUUCAUUUAUUAACAGCUUUCCCACAGUGAGUUGCAUCAGCAUUCAUUCACAGCACAUUGCAGAAGGA
Molecule: long non-coding RNA, 1205 nt
Organism: Oreochromis niloticus (Nile tilapia)
Lineage: Eukaryota; Metazoa; Chordata; Actinopteri; Cichliformes; Cichlidae
Exons: 3
Source: RefSeq, a predicted model, not a curated record